RNAcentral lists this ribosomal RNA (253 nucleotides) under uncultured bacterium. RNAcentral's name for it is "partial 16S ribosomal RNA". It matches the Rfam family "Bacterial small subunit ribosomal RNA", at positions 524 to 776 of the family's 1533-position model. The record is from RNAcentral.
GACGAACCGUACGAACGUUGUUCGGAAUCACUGGGCAUAAAGAGCACGUAGGCUGCGCGCUAAGUCAGGUGUGAAAUCCCCCGGCUCAACCGGGGAACUGCACCUGAUACUGGCGUGCUCGAGGACGGUAGGGGUGAGUGGAACUCCAGGUGGAGCGGUGAAAUGCGUAGAUAUCUGGAGGAACACCGGCGGCGAAAGCGGCUCACUGGACCGUCUCUGACGCUGAGGUGCGAAAGCGUGGGGAGCAAACAGG